RNAcentral lists this unclassified non-coding RNA (399 nucleotides) under fungal sp. RNAcentral describes it as "partial internal transcribed spacer region". The stretch from base 1 to 46 matches the Rfam family "Eukaryotic small subunit ribosomal RNA", at positions 1786 to 1831 of the family's 1831-position model. The record is from RNAcentral. Lineage: Eukaryota; Fungi.
AAGUCGUAACAAGGUUUCCGUAGGUGAACCUGCGGAAGGAUCAUUAACACUUAAAAUAAAAACAAUUUCCCUUUUGAAUCCCUCUCUUUUCUUUUUUCUCUCCUUUUUGGAGGGAGAGAGUCAAGAGAUUUUCAAAUUUAAUUUGAACAAAAAUGUGUAACCUUACUUUUUUACUUAUGGAUUUGAGGACAGAGGACGAGGGGGUUUUCAACUCUCUCUCUUCGUGGUUCUCAGAUUUUCUCAUAAACCAGUUAAACCCACAAACAAAAUAUGGCGUAUCUCAAAGGGACUUUUUGUCUCUCUGACGAUCCCCCAUAGUUAAACCAAAAACAAAAAAACAAAAAACAAAAAAAAACAAAAUAAAACACAACUCUUAACAAUGGAUAUCUUGGUUCUCGC